AGGGAUAACCGCUGAAAGCAUCUAAGCGGGAAGCCUGUUUCGAGAUGAGGUUUCUUUUGAGGUUCCCUAGAGAUUAUGGGGUUGAUAGGCCAGAUCUGGAAGCACUGUGAGGUGUGGAGGUGACUGGUACUAAUUUACCGAUAACAACAAACCAC
Molecule: ribosomal RNA, 155 nt
Filed under: Corynebacterium glutamicum
Lineage: Bacteria; Bacillati; Actinomycetota; Actinomycetes; Mycobacteriales; Corynebacteriaceae
Description: partial 23S ribosomal RNA
Rfam family: Bacterial large subunit ribosomal RNA
Source: RNAcentral